UACGUAGGGUGCGAGCGUUGCCCGGAUUUAUUGGGCGUAAAGGGCGCGUAGGCGGCCACGCACGUCCGUUGUGAAAUCGCCCGGCUCAACUGGGCGGGGUCAGCGGAUACGGUGUGGCUCGAGCAAGCUAGGGGGCAAUGGAAUUCCCGGUGUAGUGGUGGAAUGCGUAGAUAUCGGGAGGAACACCAGUGGCGAAGGCGGUUGCCUGGAGCUUUGCUGACGCUGAGGCGCGAAAGCGUGGGGGGCGAUCCGG
RNAcentral lists this ribosomal RNA (253 nucleotides) under uncultured bacterium. Its description in RNAcentral is "partial 16S ribosomal RNA". It matches the Rfam family "Bacterial small subunit ribosomal RNA", at positions 524 to 776 of the family's 1533-position model. The record is from RNAcentral.